UAGGCUUGACAUGCUGGCGCCCCGAAGGGGGGACCUGUUUCCAGGUCUUGCACCAGCAUGUCAAGCCUAGGUAAGGUUCUUCGCGUUGCGUCGAAUUAAACCACAUGCUCCACCGCUUGUGCGGGCCCCCGUCAAUUCCUUUGAGUUUCAGCCUUGCGGCCGUACUCCCCAGGCGGGGUACUUAAUGCGUUAGCUGCGGCGCUGAACGUGUCGAAACGCCCAGCACCUAGUACCCAUCGUUUACGGCUAGGACUAC
This 256-nucleotide unclassified non-coding RNA is filed under the name uncultured Gemmatimonadota bacterium. Its description in RNAcentral is "uncultured Gemmatimonadetes bacterium contains 16S-23S intergenic spacer region". The record is from RNAcentral. Lineage: Bacteria; Pseudomonadati; Gemmatimonadota.